Molecule: ribosomal RNA, 465 nt
Filed under: Vreelandella stevensii
Lineage: Bacteria; Pseudomonadati; Pseudomonadota; Gammaproteobacteria; Oceanospirillales; Halomonadaceae
Description: partial 16S ribosomal RNA
Rfam family: Bacterial small subunit ribosomal RNA
Source: RNAcentral
CCUACGGGUGGCAGCAGUGGGGAAUAUUGGACAAUGGGGGCAACCCUGAUCCAGCCAUGCCGCGUGUGUGAAGAAGGCCCUCGGGUUGUAAAGCACUUUCAGUGAGGAAGAACGCCUGGUGGUUAAUACCCAUCAGGAAAGACAUCACUCACAGAAGAAGCACCGGCUAACUCCGUGCCAGCAGCCGCGGUAAUACGGAGGGUGCGAGCGUUAAUCGGAGUUACUGGGCGUAAAGCGCGCGUAGGUGGCUUGAUAAGCCGGUUGUGAAAGCCCCGGGCUCAACCUGGGAACGGCAUCCGGAACUGUCAAGCUAGAGUGCAGGAGAGGAAGGUAGAAUUCCCGGUGUAGCGGUGAAAUGCGUAGAGAUCGGGAGGAAUACCAGUGGCGAAGGCGGCCUUCUGGACUGACACUGACACUGAGGUGCGAAAGCGUGGGUAGCAAACAGGAUUAGAUACCCGUGUAGUC